UACGGAGGGUGCAAGCGUUAUCCGGAUUUACUGGGUUUAAAGGGUGCGUAGGCGGGUAGGUAAGUCCGUGGGGAAAUCUUCGAGCUUAACUCGGAAAUUGCCGUUGAUACUAUUUAUCUUGAAUAUCGUUGAGAUUUGCGGAAUAUGUCAUGUAGCGGUGAAAUGCUUAGAGAUGACAUAGAACACCUAUUGCGAAGGCAGCAGGCUAAACGAACAUUGACGCUGAGGCACGAAAGCGUGGGGAUCAAACAGG
RNAcentral lists this ribosomal RNA (253 nucleotides) under uncultured bacterium. Its description in RNAcentral is "partial 16S ribosomal RNA". It matches the Rfam family "Bacterial small subunit ribosomal RNA", at positions 524 to 776 of the family's 1533-position model. The record is from RNAcentral.